Molecule: unclassified non-coding RNA, 1176 nt
Filed under: Leishmania donovani
Lineage: Eukaryota; Euglenozoa; Kinetoplastea; Trypanosomatida; Trypanosomatidae
Description: gene:LdHU3.18.0310(CDS-product:hypothetical_prote in_conserved)
Source: RNAcentral
CAGUGUUCUUCUCAGUCGUCUUGUGCACCACUAAGACGCCACCGUUCCACGCGGGCGCCUGCAAGGAAUGCUAGGAGGUCUGCGUCCUCUCGCUGCAGCGACCAGGCGCACCGUUGGCGGCGCCGUGGUGUCUCCAGCAUUAAUCACGCCCUCUCGCGCUCUCAGUGUUCGCACAGAGGAUUUCUUCAGCAAGGAGGCUGUCAGUCACGCCCGCCGCGUCUCGUGGGCGCCGCACACGACGGAAAAGAAGGUCGGUGCGUUCGCCAAGCUGUCGCGCUCCAACUUCAACGAUCCGCUGCCCGUCAGCUUUCACAGCGAGCCGUACUUUGAGGAGGAGAUUGAGGCGUACCGUGCGCAUCAUCGGCCCGAUGUGUACGUGUACAAGUACAACGUCUCUCCCACCCAUCUGUCUCUUCGCGAGUAGCGUGGCAGGAAGGGAGGUGGAGGGGGGGGGAAGAGGGUUCGCACGUAUCCAGGGGGUGAGCACCCGGCCUCUCUUGCUCAACGCGCGUUGUGUCGGCAGCGCUCGAUUUUUCCUUUUUUCGUUGUUUCUCUUCGGUGUCGUUGCCGACUCCAGUGCUGUGCGGUGCAACACGGAAACACAGAGGCAGGAAGCGGCGCGAUGGCGAGGCGCCAUCCUCCACGGUCGGCGCUGGAUUUACAGUGUGCCAUGUGUGUGGGCUCGCUGACAUGAACGCUUUUUUUGUCGGUGUCGUUUUGGCAUCAGGAACGUUGGACCCUCGUGUGAGUGUGCGUUGUCUCAAAAUGUGCGAAGUGGUACUCUGUGCUCCGCUCUGCGUUGGAGGUGGUGGUUGGCAGUGCGUCUUCAGCGAUGGAGAAUCGCGCAGGGAGGCGAAAGGGGUGUAGCAGACGAAUUUCUGUCUCCUCCGCGCCUCCCCCGCUUCUGACGCGCUUCUACAGUGCUCAUUACUUGCCGUGUGCUCUGCUCAUUACCCCCUUUUUCGCCGCCGUUUCUCUGCACGCGCUUGUCUCGCAGUGGCGCAAGACAUACCUGUAUGCGUAGACAUCCGCUACAGAAGGGAGGUUGGCGACGUGUGGCGUCUACGAGCGCGUUUUUGGUUUGCUCUACAUCUCUCUCUUCCUCCCUCUUUCUCGUCGCGGCACCUCUCGCAAACUGUGCGCUCGACGGGCGGGCCGCGCGGCACACGCGCACAG